GGAUGAACGCUAGCUACAGGCUUAACACAUGCAAGUCGAGGGGAAACGACAUCGAAAGCUUGCUUUUGAUGGGCGUCGACCGGCGCACGGGUGAGUAACGCGUAUCCAACCUGCCCACCACUUGGGGAUAACCUUGCGAAAGUAAGACUAAUGCCCAAUGAUAUCUCUAGAAGACAUCUGAAAGAGAUUAAAGAUUUAUCGGUGAUGGAUGGGGAUGCGUCUGAUUAGCUUGUUGGCGGGGUAACGGCCCACCAAGGCGACGAUCAGUAGGGGUUCUGAGAGGAAGGUCCCCCACAUUGGGACUGAGACACGGUCCAAACUCCUACGGGAGGCAGCAGUGAGGAAUAUUGGUCAAUGGGCGAGAGCCUGAACCAGCCAAGUAGCGUGCAGGAUGACGGCCCUAUGGGUUGUAAACUGCUUUUAUAAGGGAAUAAAGUGAGAGUCGUGACUCUUUUUGCAUGUACCUUAUGAAUAAGGACCGGCUAAUUCCGUGCCAGCAGCCGCGGUAACACGGAAGGUCCGGGCGUUAUCCGGAUUUAUUGGA
RNAcentral lists this ribosomal RNA (544 nucleotides) under uncultured Bacteroidota bacterium. Its description in RNAcentral is "bacterial SSU rRNA". It matches the Rfam family "Bacterial small subunit ribosomal RNA", at positions 27 to 558 of the family's 1533-position model. Lineage: Bacteria; Pseudomonadati; Bacteroidota. The record is from RNAcentral.